GAAAAGGCGCUUAGUUUUCAUCAAACGCGCUCAAGUUUUCACCCUAUUUUUUUUCAAUUAAAAAAGAAAUACAGUAGAAAUGACUUAAAAGUAAGAAAAGAAUAGAAAGUUGUUAACGAAUGAAUCAACGAAGGAUUGAAGAAGAAGAAGAAGAGGUGAAGUAAUUGCUGUAAAGUUUCAUCGUCUUCUUCCAUUUCUCCAUCUAAUAAACCAUUUCUCUCUCUAAAACCUCUCUCUUUCUCAUGGCCAUCGCAACAGAGACUCGAUCUCACCCUCAACAACACACGAUUAAUCAUAUUGUUGCUAUGACAAUACUCUUUAAGAUCCCAUUGCAACAAUUGCAAGUUGAGCAUCAGCUUAAUAGAUAUAUAAGGCUUUUCAGGAAAAGUGAAGGCAGAGUGAAUGGUGUAUUCAGGUAGAUUCAACUACCUUCUUUCCCAUUUCUUCUCUCAGUCAGUACACUAAUGCUUGUAUGCAGAACUUUUACUUUAGUCUCAAGAUGUGCUUGUAUUUUAUUGUUUAGUGGAUUUUACUAGUAUUUACUAACAUUAAGAUGCAAACAUGUAAUUAAGAGGCUUGAGAUGUAGAAAAUAUGCAGAGUACGUAGAAACUUUUAAUAAACCAUGGGAAAAUUGAUACAAUCCCUUGAUUCCUAUUGAAUGAUGCUUGUUACAUAAUGAUUUCAUACUGAAUUUGAAAUUUUUGUUUAUUGGUUUUGUUAGGUGUUUGUUGAUAGGGUUAACAUCGUACCAUCUAACGUUUAUUAAAUUGAUUUUUCUUCCCAAGCAACAGGGAACUAUGUUAAACAGUUCAGCCGAACUGGAACAGUCCUCAAGUUCUUUACUCUAUCUUUUGUUAAAAGUUUGAUAGGUCUUCAUGUAGAACUAUGAUUUAAAACAUUCUUUUAGUAAAGGGUCAUGCUAACAUGUGCCCUAAGGGCACAUGUUAAGAGUUAAAUGUAGAAAUUUUUUCUAAGAAAUUGUGUAUUGUUUUCAUAAAAAGUUCAUAAUUAAUGUGUUUAUUACAUUUUCCAAUACUAAUUUACUAUAUUUAGGUUUCUUAACAUGUGCCCUUGGGGCACAUGUUAGCUUUAUCCUUUAGUAAAUACUUGCUUUAUUUUGUUUUGACACAACCACUCUAUUCCUAACACCAUUUAAUUUCUUUCAUAAGCAUACUCUUCUACAUUUUGCACCUCUUUUACCAACUCUUAUGGAAUCUAUUUCAGACACUAAAUAGCCGAAGACUUGCUGUUCUGGUAUGUUUCUAAUAAAUAUGUGUUUGAACUUUGAAUAAGCAUUAUACUUCAUGAAAACUAUGUUAAAAAAGAGAUAGAUAAUUUUAAACUGACUUGAAAACCAAGUUUGACAUUGAAAUUGGAGGAAUGAUACAUGUCCCUUAAGUACCUUGAAAGCAUUGGUGAUUCAUCACAGUAAGUUGAUUUUCUUUAUAAAUUUUAUUCACAUCUUAUUCUUUUAAUAUUUUUUUCUUUCUAUUUUAACAAUAAUUGUACAUUUUUGUAUAGCCAAAUAAUGAAUUUCCAAAUUUUUUAUUAGGUCAUAAUUCGAUUCUUUGGGUGGACCAUGGACCAAUUCUACUCUGGAGGAAGAAUGAUGGGUGUAAAACGAUUAUGUUAUCUCCAAGGGGUUUUAAGAAUUUUGCUAUAAUUAUUUUGUAUGUUUAGAUACACAAAUAAUGUUUGAAUUUUUCAAUGUUAGAACUAUUUUAUUUAAAUUUGAUGUAAGCAUUUUUAUAUAUUUAAA
Molecule: long non-coding RNA, 1760 nt
Organism: Vicia villosa (hairy vetch)
Lineage: Eukaryota; Viridiplantae; Streptophyta; Magnoliopsida; Fabales; Fabaceae
Exons: 2
Source: RefSeq, a predicted model, not a curated record